This 262-nucleotide ribosomal RNA is filed under the name Pantoea sp. WMus005. Its description in RNAcentral is "partial 23S ribosomal RNA". It matches the Rfam family "Bacterial large subunit ribosomal RNA", at positions 457 to 720 of the family's 2925-position model. The record is from RNAcentral. Lineage: Bacteria; Pseudomonadati; Pseudomonadota; Gammaproteobacteria; Enterobacterales; Erwiniaceae.
CCUCCAAGGCUAAAUACUCCUGACUGACCGAUAGUGAACCAGUACCGUGAGGGAAAGGCGAAAAGAACCCCGGCGAGGGGAGUGAAACAGAACCUGAAACCGUGUACGUACAAGCAGUGGGAGCCUUCUUUAUGGGGGUGACUGCGUACCUUUUGUAUAAUGGGUCAGCGACUUAUAUUCUGUAGCAAGGUUAACCGUAUAGGGGAGCCGCAGGGAAACCGAGUCUUAACUGGGCGUUAAGUUGCAGGGUAUAGACCCGAAA